Molecule: long non-coding RNA, 654 nt
Filed under: Monodelphis domestica (gray short-tailed opossum)
Lineage: Eukaryota; Metazoa; Chordata; Mammalia; Didelphimorphia; Didelphidae
Description: lncRNA (ENSMODG00000038849.1)
Source: RNAcentral
UUCCUGCCAAAUACAUGCAAUAGCAAUAAUAGCUGACAUUUAUGCAUUGCCUUAAGACGGUGUAGAAUCAUUACUUUAUAACAACCCUGCACAUCAAAUAGAAGUAUCCUUUCCUCCACAUUAAAGAUGUGAAAACUAAUGCUGAGAGAAGUGACGUCAUGCGUAAAUCACCAUAUCAGAACCACAAUGCACUUCCGGGUCUCUGAAGUUAGCCCUUCUAUCACUUCCUCAAAUCUCCUAAUGGAGUCUCACCUAAUAGGAUCUUCAUGGUUAAGCACCAAACGUAGACGGUCGCUAGGCUGAGGGGACUAGAGAUUUGUCCAAGGAGGCCGGGGCAGGACAAUGACAGAACUCCAUGCCUACAGUAUAAAAAUAACAGAAUUUAAUCAGGAAACUGAGGCAUGCAGGGUGCAGUGGCCUGGCGAGUCAGUAUCUGAGGCCAGAUUUCAGACCUUCACUCAAUCUACCGUGUCCUCUAGCUGCCCCAAGAUUGUUCGUGAUAGUUCUGAACAGAACACGGGUUCAUUGUCUGAAUGUGGAGAAACAUAUAUCUAUCUAGGUGGCUCGAAGGAUAGAAUACCAAGCCUGGAGAUGGAAGAACUGGAUUCAGAUCUGGCUUCAGAUACUUCCUACCUGGGUGACCCUAGAGCAUGA